This 432-nucleotide ribosomal RNA is filed under the name uncultured bacterium. Its description in RNAcentral is "partial 16S ribosomal RNA". It matches the Rfam family "Bacterial small subunit ribosomal RNA", at positions 29 to 507 of the family's 1533-position model. The record is from RNAcentral.
AACGAACGCUGGCGGCAUGCCUAACACAUGCAAGUCGAACGAUCCCUUCGGGGAUAGUGGCGCACGGGUGCGUAACGCGUGGGAACCUGCCCUUAGGUUCGGAAUAACUCAGAGAAAUUUGAGCUAAUACCGGAUAAUGUCUUCGGACCAAAGAUUUAUCGCCUUUGGAUGGGCCCGCGUUGGAUUAGCUAGUUGGUGGGGUAAAGGCCUACCAAGGCGACGAUCCAUAGCUGGUCUGAGAGGAUGAUCAGCCACACUGGGACUGAGACACGGCCAGACUCCUACGGGAGGCAGCAGUGGGGAAUAUUGGACAAUGGGCGAAAGCCUGAUCCAGCAAUGCCGCGUGAGUGAUGAAGGCCUUAGGGUUGUAAAGCUCUUUUACCCGGGAUGAUAAUGACAGUACCGGGAGAAUAAGCCCCGGCUAACUCCGUG